This 250-nucleotide ribosomal RNA is filed under the name uncultured bacterium. Its description in RNAcentral is "partial 16S ribosomal RNA". It matches the Rfam family "Bacterial small subunit ribosomal RNA", at positions 526 to 779 of the family's 1533-position model. The record is from RNAcentral.
CGUAGGUGGCAAGCGUUAUCCGGAAUUAUUGGGCGUAAAGCGCGCGCAGGCGGUUCUUAAGUCUGAUGUGAAAGCCCACGGCUCAACCGUGGAGGUCAUUGGAAACUGGGGAACUUGAGUACAGAAGAGAAAGCGGAAUUCCACGUGUAGCGGUGAAAUGCGUAGAGAUGUGGAGGAACACCAGUGGCGAAGGCGGCUUUUGGUCUGUAACUGACGCUGAGGCGCGAAAGCGUGGGGAGCAAACAGGAUU